Chinchilla lanigera (long-tailed chinchilla) is the source of this 1087-nucleotide long non-coding RNA. RefSeq lists it as uncharacterized. The transcript is spliced from 3 exons. The record is from RefSeq and is a predicted model, not a curated record. NCBI's taxonomy places the organism in Eukaryota, Metazoa, Chordata, Mammalia, Rodentia, Chinchillidae.
UCUCCUAAUCCUCAUACCCCUUUCCCAUCUCUAACAUAGACUAUCUCCCUUUUUCUAUCAUCUCUAUUUUAUUUUGUUCUAACUUAUUUAUAUUUUGGGUUUCUCAGAUAAGGGAAACCAUGCAUUACUUAACCUUUGGUAUCUGAUGCAUUUCACUUAGUAUUGUGGUCUCAAGGUACAUCCAUUUUCCUACCAAAGACUCACACUGAUCCUGCUUUAAGUAGCAUUGGUCCUUUACAUCCUGUCUCCUUGGCUUUUCCUGAUUCUUCUCCCCAUCACCCACAUCCGUGAUACACAGUCAUGGAGCGAUGACCAAUCAGCACUUUCUUUCCUGGAUACGCUGUUUCCACAAGAAGGCUGAAGCCCUAUCCAGCUGGUACAAAUUAUAAGAAGAAGCAGAGAGAAUUCAGCAUUGAGUAGAGGACCUCAAGCAGCCAGUGGACUGAAAUUGUUUCCAGCAACUAAACAGCUCUGUUCAUGCUUCUGCCCUACUGCCUGUUCUCUGUGCCUCCAAAAUACUGUACUGCCUUUGAGAAAUGAAUAAGGGGUCAUGAUUCAUCUUUAACAGGGUGCUGUCUUUUAUUUGGAACUGUUUUCACUCAGUGAUGUUUUUACCCAAAAGAAAUAAAUUUCUGGUCCUUUAUACAAUGCAAAGGAAGUCAGCUGUUCAAGAAGCUCAUUUAAGUUCAUGAGGAGGCACAGAAAACAAAUUGUGAGAAAGGCGAAACUGAAGUGUUCGUGCUGGUCUCGCUCAGAUGUAAGCUGCAAAGUACAACUGCCAUGAAUUAUUGUGCCACCCUAGUUGCAAAAGGACCACUGCAAAAAUUCAAUCAUCUGGGUGUGAUGGCCCAGCCAGGUAACUGGGAUGUUAAAGAAGGAGGAUGUCUAAACCCCAGAAGUUCAAGGUCAACCUGGAAAAGAUAGCAAGACCUAGCCUCUGAAACAAACAAACAAACAAAACACCCACCAAGAAACACAAAGAAUGCAACCAGUAAAGAAUCUGGGUCAUAAGACACUCCUCUAAUAUCACUGUGUGUUGGUACGGACGUUAUAAUGUCUGAAACACAUUUUCCUGUGUAGAAUCCUC